Long non-coding RNA from Sapajus apella (tufted capuchin), 588 nucleotides. RefSeq lists it as uncharacterized. The record is from RefSeq and is a predicted model, not a curated record. The transcript has 3 exons. Lineage: Eukaryota; Metazoa; Chordata; Mammalia; Primates; Cebidae.
GCUAGCACUACUGAUUGGCUGGGGCUCCAGGCCCCACCCAUUUAGACCCUGAGUGACAGGCGAUGUAAUUAGACAACGGGCUAAAUGAGCUGCAGGAGAUCAAAGUUCUCCAGGAGAUGCAGCUGCUUCGGCUGGCUGUCAACAAUUAUCACCUUCGGCCUGUGGAACAAUUUUGGGUCUGCUUCCAGUUAAUGGAGUGGCUCAGUGAGACUGAGAGGUCAGCAACACUACCCUCAAGGCCAUGGAGAACAUGUCAUGAUGAAUCUUAGGGGACAUUGAGUGCCUGGACAAACAGGAGCAAAGUGCCUUAGGGCUCAGUGACAUUUGGGCUAGGCAUGGGUUCCCAGCUCCACCACUGACCAGCCAUGUGACUGGGGCAGAAAAUUCACUGCUAUGGUACUUGAGGCCCCAUUGUCAUAAAUAUAAUGCACACUGCCUAUUUCUUUUUCUCAUGUAUCUGUUUAUUUAUAAUCACCACGUAUUACUGAUCUCUGUUUUCAUUCAAAAUUAAUAAGCAUGUUAUACAGUUUUUAUCAUUCUUAUGAUUUCUUUACUAUGUGAUUCCUCUCAUGUGUGGUACUUAAGAGU